CGGACGGGUGAGUAACACGUAGAGAACCUACCUUACACAGGGGGACGAACGGCUGGAAACGGCUGCUAAUACCGCAUAAGCACCCAGUUUCGCAUGAAACAGAGUGAAAAGAGUAAAUCGGUGUAAGAUGGCUCUGCGUCUGAUUAGCUAGUUGGUGGGGUAAAGGCUCACCAAGGCGACGAUCAGUAGCCGGCCUGAGAGGGCGACCGGCCACAUUGGGACUGAGACACGGCCCAGACUCCUACGGGAGGCAGCAG
RNAcentral lists this ribosomal RNA (257 nucleotides) under uncultured bacterium. Its description in RNAcentral is "partial 16S ribosomal RNA". It matches the Rfam family "Bacterial small subunit ribosomal RNA", at positions 99 to 354 of the family's 1533-position model. The record is from RNAcentral.